This 447-nucleotide ribosomal RNA is filed under the name uncultured bacterium. Its description in RNAcentral is "bacterial SSU rRNA". It matches the Rfam family "Bacterial small subunit ribosomal RNA", at positions 355 to 825 of the family's 1533-position model. The record is from RNAcentral.
UGGGGAAUAUUGGACAAUGGGCGCAAGCCUGAUCCAGCCAUGCCGCGUGAGUGACGAAGGUCUUCGGAUUGUAAAACUCUUUUGGCGGGGACGAUAAUGACGGUACCCGCAGAAUAAGCCCCGGCUAACUUCGUGCCAGCAGCCGCGGUAAUACGAAGGGGGCUAGCGUUGUUCGGAAUCACUGGGCGUAAAGCGCACGUAGGCGGAUGUGCCAGUCAGGGGUGAAAUCCCGGAGCUCAACUCCGGAACUGCCUCUGAUACUGCACGUCUUGAGUUCGAGAGAGGUGGGUGGAAUUCCUAGUGUAGAGGUGAAAUUCGUAGAUAUUAGGAAGAACACCGGUGGCGAAGGCGGCCCACUGGCUCGAUACCGACGCUGAGGUGCGAAAGCGUGGGGAGCAAACAGGAUUAGAUACCCUUGUAGUCCCUGAGCGGGCUGGCAAGGCGCAU